CUCGCCAUAAAGCAAACCUGUUCAUUGAUUUAUCUUUAUUUCGCAGGUUAAUGGAACAUAAAUCACAGAGGAUCUUCAUUGUUCGGAGCUGUCAGAGGGAAGAACGGAGAAAAGAGGUCGUCUAAUCCGCACGACAAAGCCUUCGACUUCACCUAGAUGUCAUAGACCCAUCCCUGACAAUGUGCUCGCCACACUUCGCUCAGGACAAUUGACACACUCAAGCAUCCCGAGUCAGAGUCGGCAAGCUCAUAUGGCAGUUUGAGGGAAGUCGGUGAGGGCUUCAUUUUUAAGUUUCCUCAAGGAUUGAUGGAAUGGAAUUGGAGAAUUACUGAGAGGAAUUAAUUUUCGUGAUCUUGGACUUUGAAAUUGAGCAACAUGCAUCGGAUUGCGUGCCGGUGAUGUGUGGUUUUUGUGGAGUUGAUGCUGUCAUUUGUGCUAGUCCCGAAGCAAGAGAAGUGCAUGCAGGCCUUGAUAUGUGUUGGUAGCAACUGCCAGUGUGCAAGAAGCAGAUCACAAUGCAGCAGUGUUAUCAUGGCCAACAGAAUUCAGACAAAAACAUUCUGGUAAGUGGUUUGUAUUAAUAAAAAUAUUCAUAAUUGUACAUGACAGUGAUGUCAUAAAUUCACAUUCUACGUAACGCUAUACUGCUUUCAUAUCAGGGCCAUGUCUUAAGCCCCUUUCACGAUUGGUCUGAGACCACUUGCGACCUUUUGGUCUCACAAAAGGCUACAACAGGCAUUAAUUGCUAUCUAUCUGCAACUGCAACAAUUGUACAACAAAAGCAAAAAGUAAUUCUCAUUUAUUCAUGCAAAGCUCAUGCGAGUGGCCUUGCAUUCACAGGAGAUUGUUG
Molecule: long non-coding RNA, 850 nt
Organism: Lytechinus variegatus (green sea urchin)
Lineage: Eukaryota; Metazoa; Echinodermata; Echinoidea; Temnopleuroida; Toxopneustidae
Exons: 2
Source: RefSeq, a predicted model, not a curated record